RNAcentral lists this non-coding RNA (30 nucleotides) under Rattus norvegicus (Norway rat). Lineage: Eukaryota; Metazoa; Chordata; Mammalia; Rodentia; Muridae. The record is from RNAcentral.
UCUGCUCUUAGCUAGACCUGAUAGAUGGCC